CUUUUCGCGUAUCUAGGCCACCAGCUGAUCGUGAAACGAGGCGCGGUAAACAAAGCGAAUCGCGUCUGCCGUCAGUCGUAAGAGUCGGCGGUGUUGUGCGACAGUUCUACGUACGACGGUGCCAAUUCAAGAUACUAAAGACUGGACUUAGCAUUUUCAGCUUUUCAAAGAACCCUGAAAAGUAAGUAUUUACGUGUACUUAGUCGUUAGCGAUAUUUAAAAGGGUUUUUUUCUCUUGUGUAAUAGUGUCAAAAAAAUAGUUUUGUAGCCGAUGAGCCUUCCCCAUAAAUCUUAGUCUAGGGUAGAUCAAGCAGGCGACAGUGCAGUCCGGUUUGCGGGCCUCGUCAGUGCCAGCGCCGGGGCAGUAGCCUAGGCCUAGGAUGAAAAAUUAGACAAGCUUUGCUUACAAGCGAAUUGUGUGGAUUUCAAGUGACCUGUAAGAGAUCUCAUGCCAUUACUUGUAUCACCCGCUUUGAUAUUUCCCCUUUCAGCCAUGCAGCGUAGCUUGACCACCAGCUGAUCAUAAAACGAAGCGCGGUGGGCCUAGACCAAAAGGAUGACGUCUGCUGUUGUCAGUGUGUUUAUAGUGUCAGUGGGCGUUAUGUGACAGUCUAAUAGGCCCUAGCUGUGCCAAUUCAAGAUAGCUCUACAAAAGACUGGACCUAGCAUUCUUCAGAUUUCCAAAGAACUGAAAUUGCCAAGUGUCAGUGGUGUUCUGAGAAAGUUUGCGUACAACUGUGCCAAUUCAAGAAAAGACUGGACAUAGCAUAUUCUUCAGAUUUCCAAAGGACCCUGAAAUCCUCACAGCUAGACCACCAACUGAUCGUGGAAUAAAGAGGAUGGCGCCUGUCGUCAGUGUCAAAUGUCAGUGGUGUUCUGCAUGUAACUGUUCCAAUUCAAGAAACAAAAAACCGGGCCUAGCAUUCUUCAGAUUUCCAAGGGACCUUGAAAUGUAA
Long non-coding RNA from Aplysia californica (California sea hare), 956 nucleotides. RefSeq lists it as uncharacterized. The record is from RefSeq and is a predicted model, not a curated record. The transcript has 3 exons. Lineage: Eukaryota; Metazoa; Mollusca; Gastropoda; Aplysiida; Aplysiidae.